RNAcentral lists this long non-coding RNA (415 nucleotides) under Cervus hanglu yarkandensis (Yarkand deer). Its description in RNAcentral is "lncRNA (ENSCHYG00000012220.1)". Lineage: Eukaryota; Metazoa; Chordata; Mammalia; Artiodactyla; Cervidae. The record is from RNAcentral.
UUGCCCUCCGCUUGUGCAGCUAGAAGAUGCAAGAUGGGCUCUUCCGGAAUUUCGCAACAAGUAUACACGAAUGUGAUCAGCAUUGGGAUGAGAGAGGAGCUACAGUACAAUAGGAUCACCUUGUUGGGACACCCAGUGGAGACUUCUUAAGAAGGGAAGAAACCUUACCCGAAAUCUGAAAAACAGUGCCUCCUGAGAAGACAAACUGAAGCUCGCCUUGCCACUUUGUAUGCACCAGACCUCCACACCCGAGGCUUAUCACAAGCAAUUAUCUUACCCAAAUAAAAAAUGAAAAUGGAAAAGUUAAAUAAAUAACAGGACAUCUUGAUGGAAUCGCAGUAAUGCUCAUCUUGGUUAACAUUAGCCCUGACUUUUGGACAGCGAGAUUUGUUAAUGCGCUUGUCCUUUGUUUAGG